AUGGAGGGCCUUCUACAUUGGGACUUCUCGCCCGGCCUCGCGGUCGCGGCUCAGGUGCGUUGACGUUUUGGAUCUUUUGUGCAUUUCUCCCCUGAUGGAUCGACCAAGGAGUUUUUAUUGGUUGUGUACUUUUCAUCAGCCUCCUUCUCUUUGACUGAAGAAUCAGUGGCCAUUGCUCUACAAUGCUGCAUCGGA
This 195-nucleotide ribosomal RNA is filed under the name Triticum aestivum (bread wheat). RNAcentral describes it as "partial small subunit ribosomal RNA". The record is from RNAcentral. Lineage: Eukaryota; Viridiplantae; Streptophyta; Magnoliopsida; Poales; Poaceae.